AGCAGCCGCGGUAAUUCCAGCUCCAAUAGCGUAUAUUAAAGUUGCUGCAGUUAAAAAAGCUCGUAGUUGAAUUUCGGGAUCAAUAUGUUGGUCGUGCCUCGGUACGUACUAGCUUAUUGGUUUCUCCCUUCUGACGAACCAUGAUGUCAUUUAUUUGGUGUUAUGGGAAAUCAGGACUGUUACUUUGAAAAAAUUAGAGUGUUUAAAGCAGGCUCACGCUUGAAUACAUUAGCAUGGAAUAAUGAAAUAGGACGUUUGAUUCUAUUUUGUUGGUUUUCUAGGAUCGACGUAAUGAUUAAUAGGGAUAGUUGGGGGCAUUAGUAUUCAAUUGUCAGAGGUGAAAUUCUUGGAUUUAUUGAAGACUAACUACUGCGAAAGCAUUUGCCAAGGAUGUUUUCA
This 399-nucleotide ribosomal RNA is filed under the name uncultured Glomeromycotina. Its description in RNAcentral is "SSU rRNA". It matches the Rfam family "Eukaryotic small subunit ribosomal RNA", at positions 569 to 972 of the family's 1831-position model. The record is from RNAcentral. Lineage: Eukaryota; Fungi; Glomeromycota.